CAAUAGCGUAUAUUAAAGUUGUUGCAGUUAAAAAGCUCGUAGUUGGAUUUCUGGUGGGAGCGAUCGGUCUGGCGCUUAGCGCGAGUACUUGCAUCGUCUCCGGCCAUCCUUGGGGAGAGUCUGUCUGGCAUUAAGUUGUCGGGCAGAGGAUCCUCAUCGUUUACUGUGAAAAAAUUAGAGUGUUCAAAGCAGGCUUAUGCCGUUGAAUAUAUUAGCAUGGAAUAAUAAGAUAGGACUUUGGUACUAUUUUGUUGGUUUGCGCACCAAAGUAAUGAUUAAUAGGGACAGUUGGGGGUAUUCGUAUUCCGUUGUCAGAGGUGAAAUUCUUGGAUUUACGGAAGGCGAACUACUGCGAAAGCAUUUACCAAGGAUGUUUNCAUUAA
This 383-nucleotide ribosomal RNA is filed under the name uncultured eukaryote. Its description in RNAcentral is "partial 18S ribosomal RNA". It matches the Rfam family "Eukaryotic small subunit ribosomal RNA", at positions 592 to 976 of the family's 1831-position model. The record is from RNAcentral.